RNAcentral lists this long non-coding RNA (241 nucleotides) under Manihot esculenta (cassava). Its description in RNAcentral is "long non-coding RNA (MESC_LNC005725)". Lineage: Eukaryota; Viridiplantae; Streptophyta; Magnoliopsida; Malpighiales; Euphorbiaceae. The record is from RNAcentral.
GGGGGGUUUGAGAUUGAUUGUAGUAACUAAUAAUGAGAGUAAUAAUAGAAAGCAAAUAAUUAAAAUAAAAGAGUAAAUCAAUAUGAGAAAAGCCUAGUUGAAGAUAUGGAUCCACUUUGGUUGUUUGGGUUGAUCAUUGAAACUUAAAUUAUCUCGAUUGGUUCAAUAGAUUAGUUAUGGGGGUGGAAGACGCUUCUCACCACCAUGUCUCUCCUUAUGAUUAAAUUAAUUAGGGAACGUC